UAUUGGUCAAUGGGCGCGAGCCUGAACCAGCCAAGUCGCGUGAGGGAAGACGGUCCUACGGAUUGUAAACCUCUUUUGCCGGGGAGCAAGCGCUUGUUCGUGAACGGGCGUCUAGAGUACCCGGAGAAAAAGCAUCGGCUAACUCCGGUCCAGCAGCCGCGGUAAUACGGAGGAUGCGAGCGUUAUCCGGAUUUAUGGGGUUUAAAGGGUGCGUAGGCGGGAUGCCAAGUCAGCGGUAAAAAUGCGGUGCUCAACGCCGUCGAGCCGUUGAAACUGGCGGUCUUGAGUGGGCGAGAAGUAUGCGGAAUGCGUGGUGUAGCGGUGAAAUGCAUAGAUAUCACGCAGAACUCCGAUUGCGAAGGCAGCAUACCGGCGCCCUACUGACGCUGAGGCACGAAAGCGUGGGUAUCGAACAGG
RNAcentral lists this ribosomal RNA (417 nucleotides) under uncultured bacterium. RNAcentral's name for it is "bacterial SSU rRNA". It matches the Rfam family "Bacterial small subunit ribosomal RNA", at positions 362 to 776 of the family's 1533-position model. The record is from RNAcentral.